Molecule: ribosomal RNA, 1729 nt
Filed under: Pseudomonas aeruginosa
Lineage: Bacteria; Pseudomonadati; Pseudomonadota; Gammaproteobacteria; Pseudomonadales; Pseudomonadaceae
Description: partial 23S ribosomal RNA
Rfam family: Bacterial large subunit ribosomal RNA
Source: RNAcentral
GGUCAAGUGAAGAAGCGCAUACGGUGGAUGCCUUGGCAGUCAGAGGCGAUGAAAGACGUGGUAGCCUGCGAAAAGCUUCGGGGAGUCGGCAAACAGACUUUGAUCCGGAGAUCUCUGAAUGGGGGAACCCACCUAGGAUAACCUAGGUAUCUUGUACUGAAUCCAUAGGUGCAAGAGGCGAACCAGGGGAACUGAAACAUCUAAGUACCCUGAGGAAAAGAAAUCAACCGAGAUUCCCUUAGUAGUGGCGAGCGAACGGGGAUUAGCCCUUAAGCUUCAUUGAUUUUAGCGGAACGCUCUGGAAAGUGCGGCCAUAGUGGGUGAUAGCCCCGUACGCGAAAGGAUCUUUGAAGUGAAAUCGAGUAGGACGGAGCACGAGAAACUUUGUCUGAACAUGGGGGGACCAUCCUCCAAGGCUAAAUACUACUGACUGACCGAUAGUGAACCAGUACCGUGAGGGAAAGGCGAAAAGAACCCCGGAGAGGGGAGUGAAAUAGAACCUGAAACCGUAUGCGUACAAGCAGUGGGAGCCUACUUGUUAGGUGACUGCGUACCUUUUGUAUAAUGGGUCAGCGACUUAUAUUCAGUGGCAAGCUUAACCGUAUAGGGUAGGCGUAGCGAAAGCGAGUCUUAAUAGGGCGUUUAGUCGCUGGGUAUAGACCCGAAACCGGGCGAUCUAUCCAUGAGCAGGUUGAAGGUUAGGUAACACUGACUGGAGGACCGAACCCACUCCCGUUGAAAAGGUAGGGGAUGACUUGUGGAUCGGAGUGAAAGGCUAAUCAAGCUCGGAGAUAGCUGGUUCUCCUCGAAAGCUAUUUAGGUAGCGCCUCAUGUAUCACUCUGGGGGGUAGAGCACUGUUUCGGCUAGGGGGUCAUCCCGACUUACCAAACCGAUGCAAACUCCGAAUACCCAGAAGUGCCGAGCAUGGGAGACACACGGCGGGUGCUAACGUCCGUCGUGAAAAGGGAAACAACCCAGACCGCCAGCUAAGGUCCCAAAGUUGUGGUUAAGUGGUAAACGAUGUGGGAAGGCUUAGACAGCUAGGAGGUUGGCUUAGAAGCAGCCACCCUUUAAAGAAAGCGUAAUAGCUCACUAGUCGAGUCGGCCUGCGCGGAAGAUGUAACGGGGCUCAAACCACACACCGAAGCUGCGGGUGUCACGUAAGUGACGCGGUAGAGGAGCGUUCUGUAAGCCUGUGAAGGUGAGUUGAGAAGCUUGCUGGAGGUAUCAGAAGUGCGAAUGCUGACAUGAGUAACGACAAUGGGUGUGAAAAACACCCACGCCGAAAGACCAAGGGUUCCUGCGCAACGUUAAUCGACGCAGGGUUAGUCGGUUCCUAAGGCGAGGCUGAAAAGCGUAGUCGAUGGGAAACAGGUUAAUAUUCCUGUACUUCUGGUUACUGCGAUGGAGGGACGGAGAAGGCUAGGCCAGCUUGGCGUUGGUUGUCCAAGUUUAAGGUGGUAGGCUGAAAUCUUAGGUAAAUCCGGGGUUUCAAGGCCGAGAGCUGAUGACGAGUCGUCUUUUAGAUGACGAAGUGGUUGAUGCCAUGCUUCCAAGAAAAGCUUCUAAGCUUCAGGUAACCAGGAACCGUACCCCAAACCGACACAGGUGGUCGGGUAGAGAAUACCAAGGCGCUUGAGAGAACUCGGGUGAAGGAACUAGGCAAAAUGGCACCGUAACUUCGGGAGAAGGUGCGCCGGCUAGGGUGAAGGAUUUACUCCGUAAGCU